This 483-nucleotide ribosomal RNA is filed under the name uncultured bacterium. RNAcentral's name for it is "partial 16S ribosomal RNA". It matches the Rfam family "Bacterial small subunit ribosomal RNA", at positions 30 to 505 of the family's 1533-position model. The record is from RNAcentral.
AUUGAACGCUGGCGGCAGGCUUAACACAUGCAAGUCGAGCGGGGGAAGGUAGCUUGCUACCGGACCUAGCGGCGGACGGGUGAGUAAUGCUUAGGAAUCUGCCUAUUAGUGGGGGACAACAUCUCGAAAGGGAUGCUAAUACCGCAUACGUCCUACGGGAGAAAGCAGGGGAUCUUCGGACCUUGCGCUAAUAGAUGAGCCUAAGUCGGAUUAGCUAGUUGGUGGGGUAAAGGCCUACCAAGGCGACGAUCUGUAGCGGGUCUGAGAGGAUGAUCCGCCACACUGGGACUGAGACACGGCCCAGACUCCUACGGGAGGCAGCAGUGGGGAAUAUUGGACAAUGGGGGGAACCCUGAUCCAGCCAUGCCGCGUGUGUGAAGAAGGCCUUAUGGUUGUAAAGCACUUUAAGCGAGGAGGAGGCUACUUUAGUUAAUACCUAGAGAUAGUGGACGUUACUCGCAGAAUAAGCACCGGCUAACUCUG